This 497-nucleotide ribosomal RNA is filed under the name uncultured bacterium. Its description in RNAcentral is "partial 16S ribosomal RNA". It matches the Rfam family "Bacterial small subunit ribosomal RNA", at positions 29 to 507 of the family's 1533-position model. The record is from RNAcentral.
AAUGAACGCUGGCGGCGUGCCUAAUACAUGCAAGUCGAGCGAACGGACCAGGAGCUUGCUUCUCUGAUGGUAGCGGCGGACGGGAGAUUAACACGUGGAUAAACUAACUAUAAGACUGGGAUAACAUCGGGAAACCGGGGCUAAGACCGGAUAAUAUUUUGAACCGCAUUGUGCACAAGUGAAAGAAGGUCGUGCGGACACUUAUAGAUGAAUCAGCGCUGCAUUAACUAGUUGGUAAGGUAACGGCUUACCAAGGCAACGAUGCAUAGCCGACCUGAGAGGGUGAUCGGCUACACUGGAACUGAGACACGGUCCAGACUCCUACGCGAGGCAGCAGCAGGGAAUCUUCCGCAAUGGGCGAAAGCCUGACGGUGCAACGUCGCGUGAGUGAUGAAGGUCUUCGGACCCUAAAACUCUGUUAUCAGGGAAGAACAUAUGUGUAAUUAACUGUGCACAUCUUGACGGUACCUAAUCAGAAAGCCCCGGCUAACUCCGUG